GACGAACGCUGGCGGCGUGCUUAACACAUGCAAGUCGAACGGUGAAGGGACCGGUUUUUGCUGGUUCUGGAUGAGUGGCGAACGGGUGAGUAACACGUGAGUAACCUGCCCCCUUCUUCUGGAUAACCGCAUGAAAGUGUGGCUAAUACGGGAUAUUCUGCGCCUGCUGCAUGGUGGGUGUGGGAAAGAUAUUGUUUCGGUGGGGGAUGGGCUCGCGGCCUAUCAGCUUGUUGGUGGGGUGAUGGCCUACCAAGGCGGUGACGGGUAGCCGGCCUGAGAGGAUGGACGGUCACACUGGGACUGAGACACGGCCCAGACUCCUACGGGAGGCAGCAGUGGGGAAUAUUGCACAAUGGGCGCAAGCCUGAUGCAGCGACGCCGCGGGAGGGAUGGAGGCCUUCGGGUUGUAAACCUCUUUCGCCAGUGAAGCAGGCCUGUCCCUUUUGUGGGUGGGUUGACGGUAGCUGGAUAAGAAGCGCCGGCUAACUACGUG
RNAcentral lists this ribosomal RNA (493 nucleotides) under uncultured bacterium. RNAcentral describes it as "partial 16S ribosomal RNA". It matches the Rfam family "Bacterial small subunit ribosomal RNA", at positions 28 to 507 of the family's 1533-position model. The record is from RNAcentral.